UGACACCCAAUUCGUGUCUUCAUACAUGUAUUUUGAAUAAUCAUAUCCAUCACAUUCCACCUUGCUAAUCCCCUUCCUCCUCCCUUUCCCUCCUACCUCUCUUCCCUAUCUAGAAUCCAUCUAAUCCACCCAUGCUCCCCCUCCCUACCCCACUAUGAAUCAGCCUCCUUAUAUCAGAGAAAACAUUUGGCAUUUGUUUUUUGGGGAUUGACUAAUUUCACUUAGCAUUAUCUUUUCCAAUGCCAUCCAUUUACCUGCAAAUGCCAUGGUUUUAUUCUCUUUUAAUGCUGAGUAAAAUUCCAUUGUGUAUAUAUGCCACAACUUUUUUUAUCCAUUCAUCCACUGAAGGGUAUUUAGGUUGGCUCCACAGUUUAGAUAUUGUGAAUUGUGCUGCUGUAAACAUUGAUGUGGCUUUGUCCUGUAGUAUGCUAAAACAUAUAUAUCGUUUGAAUUGGGAAGGGUUUAACGUAAUAUGAAUACACAUUUUAAAAUUUGGGAAUGCAUGGAGAAACCAUAUAUAUAAAUAUAUAAUUAUAUAUGCAAAUAUAUCAUUGAUAAUUAAACUCAUAAGUCAAAAUACACAAAUAUUUAUAAAGACAUAUACUUUUAUGUGAAAUUAGGUUUAGGUAUAGAGUUAGGGUUAAAUAUUAAAUUAAAGGUGAAUUAAGGGAUAGUUUUCGGGAAAUAAUAUGUUCAUCAGGAAACAAAUAUUCAUAAGAGUUUAGGCAAAAAUAUGUAUAAAAACAUAUAAAUAUAUAUGUUUUGAAAUAAGGAAGGAUUUAAAGUGAGCCCUAUAAAUAUAUUUUUUUCUAAUUUGAGGAUGCAUGGAUAAAUCAUAUAUAUGAAUAUAUAAUAUAUAAAAUAUACCAUUGAUAUUUAAAUAUGUGUAUCAGAUACACAUAAAUAUUCAUAUUAAUAUAUAUGCUUUAAUGUUAAAUUAGGUUUAGGUAUGGGGUAAUUAAAUUAGAGUUAGUAUUACAAUUUUUGUUGGAUUAUGGUUAUGAUUAGGGAAUGACUAUGUAUGAUGGGAAACAUGAAUGUUCAUAAAAAUGUACAUCUGAAUAUAUGUAUGAAAUCAUAAAUAUCAUGUAUAUAUAUUUUGACAUAGUCUGGAAGAGUGAAGUGAGACAUAUGAAUACAAUACUUCUAAUUUGGGAAUGCAUGAAUAAAACAUACUUUCAUAAUAUAUUUAGAUGUACAUUUUAAUGAACAUUCAUGUUUCCCAUCAUACAUAGUCAUUCCCUAAUCAGAACUGGGAUUGUGGCUCAGCGGUAGAGCACUUACCUAGCACAUGUGAGGCCCUGGGUUCGAGCCUCAGCACCACAUAAAAAUAAAUAAAUAAAUAAAAUAAAAGAUAUUGUGUCCAACUACAUCUAAAAAAUAAAUAUUAAAAAAUAUUCAUAUUAAUAUAUAUGCUUUAUGUUAAAUUAGGAUUAGGUUAGAAUUAAGGUUAGAGUUGAUUAUUAUUAAAUUUUGGGUUGGGUUAGGGUUAGGGUUAGGAUUUGGGAAGUAUAGUGGCAAAUAUGAAUAUUCAUAAGAAUAUAUGCCUGCAAAUAUGUAUGAAACAUAUUUGUUUUGAAAUAGUGAAAGUUUUAAAGUGAGUCAUAUGAAUGCACAAUUUUUUGAGGGGAAAUGCAUGCAUAAAUGAUACAUAUAAAUAUAUAAUGAUAUAUAUAGAAAUAUACCAUUAAUAAUUAAAUAUAUAAGCCAAAAUACACAUAAAUAUUCAUAUAAAUAUAUAUGCUUUAUGUUUAAUUAGGUUAAUUAUAGAGGUACAGAUAGGGUUAAUAUUAAGUUUUGGGUUAGAAGAGGGUUAGAAUUAAGGAAUGAAUGUGUAUACUGGGAAACAGGAAUAUUCAUAAGAAUGUACAUUUGUAAAUAUGUAUGAAAACAUAUAUAAGUACAUAUGUUUUGAAAUAGGGAAGGGUGUAAAGUGAGUCAUAUGAAUAUAAUUUUUUUUCUAAUCAUGGGAUGUAUGGAUAAAUCAUAUGAAUAUAUAAUGACAUAUACAAAUAUACCAUUGAUAAUUAAAUAUGUAAUCAAAAUAUACAUAAAUAUUAAAUUAAUGUAUAUGCUUUUAUGUUAUGUUAGCUUUAAGUAUCAAACUAAAUUUAGGGUUGGUAACAAAUUUUGGUUUUAGUUGAGGCUAUGGUUAGGAAAUGAAUAUGUAUAUUGGGAAACAUGAAUAUUCAUAAGAAUGUAUGACUGAAAGUAUGUAUGAAAACAUAUAUGUUUUGAAAUAGGGAAUAGUGUGAAGUGACUUGUGCAGGCACACUUUUUAAAUUUGAGGAUGCAUGUAUGAAUUCUCUAUACAAAUAUAUGAAAAUAUACAACUGAUAUUUAAAUAUGUCAAAUACACAUAAAUAUUCAUAUUGCUAUAAUCCUUUUUAUGUUAUAUUUGAUUUAGUUGUUUAAAUUAUUAAAUUUAGAGUUAAUAUUAAAUUUUGUGCAUGGUUGACGUUAGUGCUCGGGAAUGAAUGUGUAUAUUGGGAAACAUGAAUAUUCAUAAAAAUGUACACUUGAAAACCUAUAUGAAAACAUUUAUAAAUAUUUAUGUUUUGAAAUACAGAAUUGUUUAAAGUGUGUUGUAUGAAUAUGCUUCUUUUUAAUGUGGG
This 2615-nucleotide long non-coding RNA is filed under the name Marmota monax (woodchuck). The stretch from base 1255 to 1323 matches the Rfam family "tRNA". Lineage: Eukaryota; Metazoa; Chordata; Mammalia; Rodentia; Sciuridae. The record is from RNAcentral.